CGCCCCCCGCCCGGCACCGGCUCUUAAAGGGGCCGUGUGGCGUCGCCUCCGUGCUGCCAGGGACCCCCCCCCGCCCCCCACCAACCUUCAGGGAGCCUUCCUAGCCCCGGCGCCCGGCCCCAGCACGCGGGGACCCCCGGCCUCGCGCCGCUCACCGCCGAGGAGGGGCCGGCUGAACGGGUCGUGGCUCGAGGGUCUUCACCCGCCGUGGCCCGGCCGGAGCUGGCGCCGCCUCCCCAGCCCCGCAGCCUUUGUUCGCGCGGGGCCUGCGGGCCCCGAGACCCUCGCGGUCCCGGGCGGCGAGGGCGCUGCGCGAGCUAGGCCCGCGAGCACUUUACCUGCGGCACUGACGCUGACCCUCUCCAGCACCCCUGGAGGUGGGAACCUGGGUUUCCACUUUACUUGGGAGCAAAUUGGAAGCUCGGAGGCGAGACGGUUUGUCUCAGGCCACACGUCUCACGAACUCUGGGGAGGGUGUCCCCAGUGCAGUGCUGUCCCCCAGGCCCCGCCGAUCACUCCAGCCCCUGAUGCUUCUGGUGAAAAGCCACCCCCAAACAGUGCUUAUCGGGGUCCACCCUGACAAUAUGUGUUCUCCCCCAGCCCCCAGUCAAGGCUGUCGAGGGUCUGCCCCCAGGCGACUUGGGGCCCGGACGCUGGGAGUCCAGAGCGGGAACAAACAUAGGCAGGAAAGACCUGGAUGGUCCCUAGACCUGGAGGAGGUCAGGGAGCUGGAGGCAGGAGAGCCGGAAGAAGAUAUGCACCCACACACCUACUGAUUACUGAGCACCUUCUCCAGCAGGGCCCUGUGCGGGGCACUGGGAUGUUAGCUCUGAGAAAGACGACAAAGACCAUUGCCGUGAGCUGACACUGACGGGAGCCUUUGAAGAGACAGAGCAUGAACGGGGGAGGGUCAGAGAGAGAGGGAAACACAGAAUCUGAAGCAGGCUCCAGGCUCUGAGCUGUUGGCACAGAGCCCGACGUGGGGCUCGAACUCACAGACCGUGAGAUCAUGACCUGAGCCAAAGUCGGACACUUAACCAAAUGAGCCACCCAGGUGCCACCAUCUGUUGGAUUUUAAUGUAUAGAGAUAGAGAUGCCAUGAGCAGGGAAGGGACAGAGAGAGGGAGACACAGAAUCCAAGGCAGGCUGAAGGCUCUGAACUGUCAGCACAGAGCCCAACGUGGGGCUUGAACUCAUGAACACAAGAGAUCAGAACCUGAGUCAUAGUAGGACACUCAACCAACUGAGCAACCCAGAGUCAAGAGGAGUGCAAAGGACAUGCGUGAGACCCUGGGUACUUGACCUUGUUCCUCCCACAGAUGGGUACGUUUGCCUGGCUCUGCGGCCCGUGUGGCCUGAGGACAUCCCUGCAGACUCCAAACGUGGGAGCCCCUCCCUGGAUUCUGUGAAGCAAGUUGUGCAGGAGGUAAGACCCAUUGCUGGGGAGGGGACGUGUCAGCAGCUGAGGCCCGUUCUGAGCUGUCCUCUGGUAGCCACCUGCCAUGUGGGGCCGCUUAAUUCAAGCUGAGAGAAAAUCCUAUGAAGGAAAGGCUUCGGUUCCUAUUGCAAGUAUGCAGCGGCCUCUUGUGGUCAG
This is a long non-coding RNA of Acinonyx jubatus (cheetah), 1594 nucleotides long. RefSeq lists it as uncharacterized. The record is from RefSeq and is a predicted model, not a curated record. The transcript is spliced from 5 exons. NCBI's taxonomy places the organism in Eukaryota, Metazoa, Chordata, Mammalia, Carnivora, Felidae.